Molecule: ribosomal RNA, 450 nt
Filed under: uncultured bacterium
Lineage: Bacteria
Description: partial 16S ribosomal RNA
Rfam family: Bacterial small subunit ribosomal RNA
Source: RNAcentral
AGCGAACGCUGGCGGCAGGCUUAACACGUGUAAGUCGAGCGGGCAUAGCAAUAUGUCAGCGGCAGACGGGUGAGUAACGCGUGGGAACGUACCUUUUGGUUCGGAACAACACAGGGAAACUUGUGCUAAUACCGGAUAAGCCCUUACGGGGAAAGAUUUAUCGCCGAAAGAUCGGCCCGCGUCUGAUUAGCUAGUUGGUGAGGUAAUGGCUCACCAAGGCGACGAUCAGUAGCUGUCUGAGAGGAUGAUCAGCCACAUUGGGACUGAGACACGGCCCAAACUCCUACGGGAGGCAGCAGUGGGGAAUAUUGGACAAUGGGCGCAAGCCUGAUCCAGCCAUGCCGCGUGAGUGAUGAAGGCCCUAGGGUUGUAAAGCUCUUUUGUGCGGGAAGAUAAUGACGGUACCGCAAGAAUAAGCCCCGGCUAACUUCGUGCCAGCCGCCGCAGUAA